CCUACGGGCGGCUGCAGUGGGGAAUUUUGGACAAUGGGGGCAACCCUGAUCCAGCCAUUCCGCGUGAGUGAAGAAGGCCUUCGGGUUGUAAAGCUCUUUUGUCCGGAGCGAAACGGGCGGCCCUAAUACGGUCGUCUACUGACGGUACCGGAAGAAUAAGCACCGGCUAACUACGUGCCAGCAGCCGCGGUAAUACGUAGGGUGCGUACGUGGCUCGGAGUUACUGGGGGCGGAGUUGGAGGCCGCGGGUGAAAUCCCCGGGCUCAACCUGGGAAUGGCAUUUGGGACUGCAAGGCUGGAGUGUGGCAGAGGGGACUAGAAUUCCUGGUGUAGCAGUGAAAUGCGUAGAUAUCAGGAGGAAUACCGAUGGCGAAGGCAGGUCCCUGGGUUAACACUGACGCUCAUGCACGAAAGCGUGGGGAGCAAACAGGAUUAGAUACCCCUGUAGUC
This 450-nucleotide ribosomal RNA is filed under the name uncultured bacterium. Its description in RNAcentral is "partial 16S ribosomal RNA". It matches the Rfam family "Bacterial small subunit ribosomal RNA", at positions 338 to 795 of the family's 1533-position model. The record is from RNAcentral.